This is a long non-coding RNA of Pseudophryne corroboree (corroboree frog), 452 nucleotides long. RefSeq lists it as uncharacterized. The transcript is spliced from 4 exons. The record is from RefSeq and is a predicted model, not a curated record. Lineage: Eukaryota; Metazoa; Chordata; Amphibia; Anura; Myobatrachidae.
GUUCAGGAUUUGAAAUUUUCUUAAGUUCUCUGUUUGGUGACAUGUAUAAACAGAGGUAGACUAUAAGGUUCCACCAUUCUUGAUUGAAAAUAGGGAACGUAACAUCAUCUAAUUUCAACCAAAUUUAUAUAUUUUUUUUUGAAGUCUAUCUAGAUAUUAUAUUUAUCGAAUUGAAUAUGUGAUUGGAUGUAAUCAUUGGAUAUUCUAAACCUUUCUAAUCAAUGGUAAUCACUCCUACUAUAAGAACUGAUUCCAAACCCCUGAUGAAGUCCUAACGGACGAAACGCGUUGGGUUUUGCAACGUCUGGUUAACAAAGUCCUUAUCACAAACAUCUGGUUGGAGAUACAUCCAUUUCGAGUUCUGACUGUGAUCACCUGGCUGUAAAAUCCUCACAUCCAACUGUAAUUUAUGUAUAAGAUUGUAAUAUUGUUUUAUAUGAAUUUUUAGAAGG